UGUACUUUCAUAUGAAACAAAAUAUCAUUGAAAUUGAAAUAACAAACUGGCCAAUGGCAGGAGGUGUAACGAAACCACAAGGGGAUAAAAGAAAAGGAGGGACUCACCGUUCCAUUUCGCAAGGAUAUUUUGAAAGGUUAAUCAUAUCGUGGCUUUGGCUAGAGUUGUUAUCACAAUGUCUGAAAGGAAACCUAAGGACAAAGUUGUAAUGGAGGCAAAAAGAAUUGUAUAUAAGGAUGGUAAAAAAGUCCGCUGUUGAGGAAACAAAAAAGAGUGGAAUAUGAGCCACAAAAGAAAUCAGGAAAGAAACACAAACAAGUAAAAGAAGCAGGUGAAGGUGGUGCUGCAGGCUACAACUUUCAUAAUUCCCGUGAGAUCGGCAACCUCAUAGCCCCCUAGCCGCAAAAAAAGGAAAAUUCUGAAUCUUGUCCGUUGUACAUUUAAGGAGCAUGAAAUUUUGUUACAGAGUAAUAUUCUUGUAUUUUGCUGACAUCAUAAGAUAUCAAAACAUGAGCCGUAUAAAAGAAGAUAAAUGUUGAUAAUGAAUGUUUGAAAUGUCUUAUUUUAUGAUUAUUACAACUGAAAUCGGAUAUUUGUAAACAAAUUUACUAUAAAUAUGAAUAAAAACUUUCAUGGUUCUUAAAUAAACAUAUUCAAUUUA
Long non-coding RNA from Ruditapes philippinarum (Manila clam), 661 nucleotides. RefSeq lists it as uncharacterized. The record is from RefSeq and is a predicted model, not a curated record. NCBI's taxonomy places the organism in Eukaryota, Metazoa, Mollusca, Bivalvia, Venerida, Veneridae. The transcript has 6 exons.